Oryctolagus cuniculus (rabbit) is the source of this 2085-nucleotide long non-coding RNA. The record is from Ensembl. Lineage: Eukaryota; Metazoa; Chordata; Mammalia; Lagomorpha; Leporidae.
GAAGGGGAAGCCACCAAAAGAGGAACCCAAUUUACGGCUGGGCGGGGCGGGGCCCACCCACCUGCGUUUCCUCCCUCCACGAGACCAGUUGGGCGGGGCCAGCCCUGGCCUUGGUGGAGACCUCCCUCUGCCUGUCCCCAGCCUGUCACCUGCCCUGGUGCGCUGUUGGCCUCCGGAAGCCCCCAGCGCCGCUCGCUUGUAUCCCCGUGCCUUUACCUUAGUAACUGCGUCAACCACUUCUCCUACUGUCCUGUCUCCGGUCUCGAAGGGGGAACCCAGCUCCCCCCCCCAACGUGCACCUCCAACCCGGCCCCCACCCUCUCCACUGGCGCCCACGCGGCCCACCUCACCCCGCCUCCCCCCUGCCCAGGAAGCUUCGGGCUUAACCACAGCUUCCUGCCCCCAAGGAAGUCAGAGCACUGGGUGCUCCCAGCCCCCCUCUCCUCGGAGUACAGGCUGCUCCCCAGGGCACCUCCAUCCCCACCCCUGCUGGGGCGCGAGCUGGACCAGGAGCUAGACUGGCCUUGCUGCACACAGCACAGCUCCCGUGAGGAAGUCCAGUCUCUGGGGCCACCCUGUCCCACAGCUCUGGCUACCGCUGGCUGGAAAGAUGCACCCUCCCCCACUGGGCCUUGCCUACUGAGUUCUAGAACCUUCUACAUCAACCUUCCUGGCUCAGCCUCUCCCCUCAGUCCUGCGCCUGGCCGCCCUUUCCUGCCAGGCUCCCCGCUCUCCGUCCAGCCAACCACUCCUCACGAUCAGAGGCUCCAUUCACUCUCCUUGGCCUUUCUGAGCCGGCUCUACGGCCAGCCCAGCCUAACCUUUGGUGCUCACGCCGCAGGGGAGUUCCCCUGCCAGCAAGAACACCCUGGGAAGCAGCCAGACCCCCACCCCCACCCCCACACCGCCGUGGGACUCCCCGAGGGAGGCGCGGUGGGAAUCCGGGGGAGGGGCGGCCACGUUUCCGGGAAAGAGACAGCCCAGACCAGGGCCCACUUCAGUUCUUCGUUGUCCAGCGGCCGGUCACCAGAGGGCGGCCCCUUCAGUGGCCAAGUACUGGCAGCCCGUGCCUGUCAGAGGCAGGCGUCCAAGGCCCGCCCCCCUCAACCAGCAAACACACAACUGGGAAAUACUUGCCAGUGCAGCCUUUCCUGUGUGGCCACACUGGGCCAAGAACUGCACGCCCCAAAUGCCUGACAACCCAGGCUGCCGGGCAGGGAUGGAUGGGGCCCGGCAGGCCCAGCGGGCAGCUGCUCUCACACACACACACACACACACACAGUCACACAUCUGUGGGGGGGAGGGGCUGCAGAACCAGCCCAGCCGGUUUGGGAUUCCCGCCCUCACUGGGCUGCAGGCCAAAGCCCCCCAAGUGGCCCUCACGGCCUGGGAAAAGGGUUCACACCUACCUUGGAGGGAGGACUUUGAGAUUCAAACUAGGCCUGCUCGUGCUGUCCAAAGGAGGGCUGUCCACCCAGGGGGUACCUGCCGCGGCCCCUUCUCCGGCCAAAAACCUGGGCGAAGAAGGCGGAGGUCUGGUUAGGGCAGCCCCCAGUGGGUGGGCCGCAAAGUGGGCUGGCCAAAUUCACAGCGGGCAGGGUCCCUCGGCCCGACAGGGAGCCUAGAGGAACGGUGGCCCCCCAGACCCAGCUGCCUAGGCGGCCUGCACUCGGGAGGGGCAGGGAGGGGGGGUGGCGGGGUCCCGAAGGUUCAGACGGGGCGAAGAGCGGCGGGAGGCUACUCAUCUGCAUUUCCAAAGGCCCGCCCCGAGCACAUCCCCUCCCCCAGGGAGGGCCGGAGAGCUGAGGGUUCGCCCCAGAGCCCUCGGCCAGGGGCAUCCCGGGGGAGGCCUGCUCGGCUUUCCCAAGCCCCCACCCCCACCGCAGCCUGCCAGGCUGGGCUAGAGGGGUGCGCUCCGGGCGGCCCAGGCGGCCACGCGCAGAGUGGGGACAAAGGAGCUCCCGCCCUUCCGCGUGGCCCUCGAAAAACUACAGGGAGGCAGGGGACGGGGGUCGAAGCCAAGUGGAGGCGGCGGCUGGCCUUGAGGUCUCCUGCCACUGGCUCCCGCCCGGGAGGACGAAGGGC